Molecule: transfer RNA, 72 nt
Filed under: Apaloderma vittatum (bar-tailed trogon)
Lineage: Eukaryota; Metazoa; Chordata; Aves; Trogoniformes; Trogonidae
Rfam family: tRNA
About the family: Transfer RNA (tRNA) molecules are approximately 80 nucleotides in length. Their secondary structure includes four short double-helical elements and three loops (D, anti-codon, and T loops). Further hydrogen bonds mediate the characteristic L-shaped molecular structure. tRNAs have two regions of fundamental functional importance: the anti-codon, which is responsible for specific mRNA codon recognition, and the 3' end, to which the tRNAs corresponding amino acid is attached (by aminoacyl-tRNA synthetases). tRNAs cope with the degeneracy of the genetic code in two manners: having more than one tRNA (with a specific anti-codon) for a particular amino acid; and 'wobble' base-pairing, i.e. permitting non-standard base-pairing at the 3rd anti-codon position.
Source: Rfam by way of RNAcentral
GGCUGGUUAGCUCAGUCAGUUGAGCAUGGCGCUUACAACGCUAAGGUCGUGGGUUCGAUUCCCGUUCGGUCC